RNAcentral lists this long non-coding RNA (1046 nucleotides) under Chrysemys picta bellii (western painted turtle). RNAcentral describes it as "lncRNA (ENSCPBG00000003203.1)". Lineage: Eukaryota; Metazoa; Chordata; Testudines; Emydidae. The record is from RNAcentral.
CAAGUUUCUGGUCAGAACGCGCUUCCGUAUGGUCUCCCUUGGAACUAUUAUCCCAUCCCUGGAUCCUGGGGAUUGGUACGCUGCCCUCGAUAUGAAAGAUGCCUAUUUUCACAUCGCCAUCAAUCCGGCCCACAGGCAGUUCCUGCGCUUCACCGUCAACCAGCGCCAUUUCCAAUUUACAGUCCUGCCUUUUGGCCUGGCAUCAGCACCACGAGUAUUCACGAAAUGCAUGUCCGUGGUAGCAGCCUUCCUUCGGAAAAGAAGGAUGCGCGUGUUCCCGUACUUGGACGACUGGCUCCUCGCGGGCAGGUCGGAGGCCGAGGUCCGCUCUCACGUGACGCUGGCUCUACAGAUGUUCGGCAGGCUCGGCCUCCUGGUCAACGUACCCAAGUCCACGUUAGCUCCCACACAGAGACUGGACUUCAUAGGUGCAGUCCUGGACUCGGUGACCGCGCGGGCAAGCCUCCCAGAGACGCGGUUCCUGACAAUUCAGAGGGCCGUAAGCUCAGUCCAGAAGUUCCCCACGACAACGGCAAGGUGUUGCAUGCAGCUCCUGGGACACAUGGCAGCCUGCACACAUGUAGUCAGACAUGCCCGCCUAAGGCUCCGGCCCUUGCAGUUAUGGUUUGCCCAAACGUACCGCCCCAACAGAGACCCCUUGGAUCUGGUGGUGACGAUCCCGGAUCGGGUAUUGGGCUCGCUCCGCUGGUGGCUCGAUCAACAGCAGGUCUGCGAAGGGAUCCCCUUCGCUGCCCCACAGCCCACUCUGACGUUAGUAACGGAUGCAUCGGGCCUGGGUUGGGGGGCACACCUGGGGUAACUGCGGACCCAAGGCUUGUGGUCCAGGGAAGACAGGUUGCUUCACAUCAAUCUAAAGGAGCUGAGAGCGGUUGGCCUCGCCUGUCAGACCUUCCACGCCACCAUAGAAGGUCACAGCGUGGCAGUCCUGACGGACAACACUACCGCCAUGUUCUAUAUAAACAAGCAGGGCGGGUCCCGGUCCUCUCCCCUCUGUCGCGAGGCACUCCAAUUAUGAGACUUCCGUA